Molecule: ribosomal RNA, 301 nt
Filed under: uncultured bacterium
Lineage: Bacteria
Description: partial 16S ribosomal RNA
Rfam family: Bacterial small subunit ribosomal RNA
Source: RNAcentral
CAGCCGCCGCGGGAAUACAGAGGGUGCGAGCGUUAAUCGGAUUUACUGGGCGUAAAGCGUGCGUAGGCGGCUUUUUAAGUCGGAUGUGAAAUCCCUGAGCUUAACUUAGGAAUUGCAUUCGAUACUGGGAAGCUAGAGUAUGGGAGAGGAUGGUAGAAUUCCAGGUGUAGCGGUGAAAUGCGUAGAGAUUUGGAGGAAUACCGAUGGCGAAGGCAGCCAUCUGGCCUAAUACUGACGCUGAGGUACGAAAGCAUGGGGAGCAAACAGGAUUAGAUACCCCCGUAGUCCCUGUCUCUUAUAC